AUGUUUAAAAAAACAUAUGCUGAGAACCUGCCUGCACUUGAAGGAAAGCAGCAGUGGGAUAUUGUAGACCCUGGUUUCAAACUAAGUCCACCUCUACAGAACAAAGCUGCACCUGGCAGGCCAAUGAAGACAAGAAUUAAGCCAGCAAGUGAAGGAAAAGGACUUGGUCCUAGGAAGAGAAAAUGCAAGAGGUGUGGUGGCUUGGGUCACUUACUGAAAACCUGCAAAAAAGCCAUUGAUCCAGCAUUUGGUAAAGAAGAUGCACACUGGGGAGCUGACAAUGCAGAAGAAGACCCUCCUAACCAAAAUGUAGACCUACAUGAUGAACAACAAGAAGAAGAGGAGACAUACAGUGAAGAUGAAGCUCCAGUGCAGAUGAAGCUCUAG
This 387-nucleotide ribosomal RNA is filed under the name Triticum aestivum (bread wheat). RNAcentral's name for it is "partial small subunit ribosomal RNA". Lineage: Eukaryota; Viridiplantae; Streptophyta; Magnoliopsida; Poales; Poaceae. The record is from RNAcentral.